GGUUUUGGAGGCAGGGCCUGUGGGUGGUGUAAUGAGAAUGUUCCCAUAGGCUCAUAUAUUUGCAUAAUAGUCUCCAGUUGGUGAAUUGUUCCGAAAGGAUCAGGAGGUGUGACCUUGUUGGUGUUUGUGUGUUCUUAUAGGAGACUUCAAAAUCCCUGGCCAGGCCCUGGCCCAUUCUCUCUCUCUCUCUCUCUCUCUCUCUCUCUCUCUCUCUCUCUCUCUCUCUCUCUCAAUGGUGGCAAACACCUAGAGGGAGUGUUGAGCUUAGACUCUCUUUGCCACUUCUCUUGGUGACCGUGAAGAGUGUAUGAGUGGGGCUGCUGGAUCCUUCAGGGAGUGUAGCCUCCAGUGCCGUAUCGGCAUCUGUCUGCCCAUUCCACCUUGACCCAACAUUAAGUAAAACUAACUCUGACUAAACUAUGUUUUAUCCACAGAGAGUAAAGAAUGAAGUGUAAAUGCUGUAAUGAACUGAUAAUUAGUAAGAGACUAUAGAAUCGAAAAUGUUCUUUACAAAUCUGAAAAUCUUUGUGACGGGUUUAGUGUAAAUGUAAUGUCCCUUUCUAGAUGAACUGUACACUUAUAGAGGGAAGGAGAGAUGGGGAUAAUUAGUGAAGGCAGAGUAGAAGAAAUGAACAAAUGGGGUUUUAAGCAUCUCUUCAAGGUCUUCCUUUUAAACAUGUAAGUGGGCAGGCAAGUGGUUCUCAUGACCACUUAACAUGAAUGAAUCAUUUGGGCAUUGUAUGUACUCUUAAGUCAGAAGUUUUGGUUCUGGGCAUAUUUCUUAGGUUGCUGGAUGUUUUAUUUCCUAAAGCUUUUUGAACACCAUACUGCAUAAGGCCAUAAACGAUGCUAUGGUCGCAGUUUAGAUUUCAUUUGUACCAUCAAAAUGCAGUAUAGACACUCACAUAUUGUUCUUGCAUUUAAUCUGUUUUGCCCUUUCUGAUAGAAUAAUUUAAUCUUGGAGGGCUCAUGUGUCUAUGAAUGGAAGAAGGUGCUCCUCUUACUUCC
RNAcentral lists this long non-coding RNA (1008 nucleotides) under Mus musculus (house mouse). Its description in RNAcentral is "long non-coding RNA chr10:56580852-56581860". Lineage: Eukaryota; Metazoa; Chordata; Mammalia; Rodentia; Muridae. The record is from RNAcentral.